GUAGGGAAUCUUCCACAAUGGACGCAAGUCUGAUGGAGCAACGCCGCGUGAGUGAUGAAGGCUUUCGGGUCGUAAAACUCUGUUGUUGGAGAAGAACGUGUGUGAGAGUAACUGCUCAUGCAGUGACGGUAUCCAACCAGAAAGCCACGGCUAACUACGUGCCAGCAGCCGCGGUAAUACGUAGGUGGCAAGCGUUAUCCGGAUUUAUUGGGCGUAAAGCGAGCGCAGGCGGUCUUUUAAGUCUAAUGUGAAAGCCUUCGGCUUAACCGAAGAAGUGCAUUGGAAACUGGGAGACUUGAGUGCAGAAGAGGAGAGUGGAACUCCAUGUGUAGCGGUGAAAUGCGUAGAUAUAUGGAAGAACACCAGUGGCGAAGGCGGCUCUCUGGUCUGCAACUGACGCUGAGGCUCGAAAGCAUGGGUAGCGAACAGGAUUAGAAACCCUAGUAGUCC
Molecule: ribosomal RNA, 450 nt
Filed under: uncultured bacterium
Lineage: Bacteria
Description: bacterial SSU rRNA
Rfam family: Bacterial small subunit ribosomal RNA
Source: RNAcentral